This 758-nucleotide ribosomal RNA is filed under the name uncultured bacterium. RNAcentral's name for it is "bacterial SSU rRNA". It matches the Rfam family "Bacterial small subunit ribosomal RNA", at positions 8 to 796 of the family's 1533-position model. The record is from RNAcentral.
AGAGUUUGAUCAUGGCUCAGAAUCAACGCUGGCGGCGCGCCUAACACAUGCAAGUCGCACGAGAAAGCGGGAGCAAUCUCGCAAGUAAAGUGGCGUACGGGUGAGUAACACGUGGAUCAUCUGCCCUGGAGUGGGGAAUAACGCUGGGAAACCGGCGCUAAUACCGCAUAUACCCGAGAGGGGAAAGCAGCAAUGCGCUCGAGGAGGAGUCCGCGGCCGAUUAGCUAGUUGGCAGGGUAAAAGCCUACCAAGGCUGUGAUCGGUAGCCGGCCUGAGAGGGCACACGGCCACACUGGCACUGAAACACGGGCCAGACUCCUACGGGAGGCAGCAGUGGGGAAUCUUGCACAAUGGGGGAAACCCUGAUGCAGCGACGCCGCGUGAGCGAUGAAGCCCUUCGGGGUGUAAAGCUCUUUCGGCAGGGAAGAUUAUGACGGUACCUGCAGAAGCAGCUGCGGCUAACUACGUGCCAGCAGCCGCGGUAAUACGUAGGCAGCAAGCGUUGUUCGGAGUUACUGGGCGUAAAGGGUGUGUAGGUGGCGCGCUAAGUUCCGUGUGAAAUCUCCCGGCUCAACCGGGAGGGUGCGCGGAAAACUGGCGGGCUCGAGUACGGGAUGGGAGAGUAGAAUUCCUGGUGUAGCGGUGAAAUGCGUAGAUAUCAGGAGGAAUACCGGUGGUGUAGACGGCUCUCUGGACCGUAACUGACACUGAGACACGAAAGCGUGGGUAGCAAACAGGAUUAGAUACCCUGGUAGUCC